Molecule: ribosomal RNA, 370 nt
Filed under: uncultured organism
Description: bacterial SSU rRNA
Rfam family: Bacterial small subunit ribosomal RNA
Source: RNAcentral
CGUAGGCAGCGAGCGUUGUUCGGAGUUACUGGGCGUAAAGAGUGCGUAGGCGGUUUUCUAAGUUUGGUGUGAAAUCUCCCGGCUUAACUGGGAGGGUGCGCCGAAGACUGGAAGGCUUGAGUAUGGGAGAGGUAAGCGGAAUUCCUGGUGUAGCGGUGAAAUGCGUAGAUAUCAGGAGGAACACCUGCGGUGUAGACGGCUUACUGGACCAUCACUGACGCUGAGGCACGAAAGCGUGGGUAGCAAACAGGAUUAGAUACCCUGGUAGUCCACGCCCUAAACGAUGCAUACUUGGUGUGGGUAGUUCAUUCUAUCCGUGCCGGAGCUAACGCGUUAAGUAUGCCGCCUGGGGAGUACGGUCGCAAGGCUG